RNAcentral lists this ribosomal RNA (437 nucleotides) under uncultured bacterium. RNAcentral's name for it is "bacterial SSU rRNA". It matches the Rfam family "Bacterial small subunit ribosomal RNA", at positions 29 to 506 of the family's 1533-position model. The record is from RNAcentral.
AUGAACGCUGGCGGCGUGGAUAAGGCAUGCAAGUCAAGGGGGUCCGCAAGGACUACCGGCAAACGGGUUAGUAACACGUAGAUACAUACCCUAAAGUGAGGCAUAGCUUCGAGAAAUCGGAGGUAAUUCCUCAUAGUCCCGUAAGGGUAAAGAUGUAAAUCGCUUUAGGAUUGGUCUGCGGAUUAUCAGCUUGUUGGUGGGGUAAUGGCCUACCAAGGCUAUGACGAUUAGGCGAAGUGAGAGCUUGUUCGCCAACACGGGCACUGCGAGACGGGCCGUACUCCUACGGGAGGCUGCAGUCGAGAAUAUUUGACAAUGGACGAAAUGAUGAUCAUGCGACGCCGCGUGCAGGAGGAAGGUCUUCGGAUCGUAAACUGCUUUUAUUGGGGAGGAACUUUGGUGACGGUACCCAAUGAAUAAGGGAGUGCUAACUCUGU